GUAGGAGGCAAGCGUUAUCCGGAAUGACCGUGCGUAAAGGGUGCGUAGGUGGUUUGGCAAGUUAGUAGCGUAACUCCGGAGCUCAACUUCGGAACUACUACUAAAACUGUCGGACUUGAGUGCAGGAGGGGCAACUGGAAUUCCUAGUGUAGCGGUGGAAUGCGUAGAUAUUAGGAGGAACACCAGUGGCGAAGGCGAGUUGCUGGACUGUAACUGACACUGAGGCACGAAAGCGUGGGGAGCAAA
This 246-nucleotide ribosomal RNA is filed under the name uncultured bacterium. Its description in RNAcentral is "partial 16S ribosomal RNA". It matches the Rfam family "Bacterial small subunit ribosomal RNA", at positions 527 to 772 of the family's 1533-position model. The record is from RNAcentral.